AUGAGAAAGUUACAGCGAGACUGGCAAUGAAUCAUGUUAAGUUCCAGGUGAGUUCAAGAAGACUUACGGUGCAACGUAAACUUGUUAGAACGAAAUAUAUGAAGGUGUAAGGGACGAAAGCAGUUGUGGGGCUAGCGGAAUAGCAGUGGACCGAUAACCGCAAAUGAGAAUGGUACAGGAAACUACGCUGUUCCACGCUUCCCUGGUGACCGAUGAGGCCAAUUCUGUGAACCACAUUUGCUUCAUUUGAAGCUGUUGUUCUAAACUUUUCUGUUAAUUGAAACGAAGAAAUUGGAAUACUCCUAGCGGUUAUUUUAAGUUUCUGGCCAGUUUAAGCUGCGCAAAAACUAUAGCUGCACCGUGGCGCGAGUAUUCCGGGAAAUCAAGGGCCUGUGGAUUAUAUACGUCUACGGUAUGUACAAGUUACUCUCAUCUAAGUACAAACGUUAUCAUUUCUGAGAGUAACGAAGACGCGGGGGAGCGUCACCAAGGGAAUUACUGAAUGGAGCAGUGAUGCUCGAUCCUUUCGAGGGGAAUGAUCCUAGGAAAAAGAGUACGAUGUGAGAUUUAAACUGGAGAUCUUCGGAAGUUGGGAUUUGCUGGCUGACCACUUUACAACUGCGCCAUCACCGACCCUCCAAUAUCUUGGUCUUCCAUACUUCUUUCUUCUCUCUCGGUGCCUCGAUCCAAUAUUAUAAAGAGCAAUAAAUGAGAACGAUUUUCCUUUGCUCUUUAAUUGCUUUUAAAAGCAGAAAUUUUAUUUCAUCUAACUCAAUGUUUUAGAUACCGAUCAGAAAACGUAACAAUAUUUCUAGUAUUAAUAAAAUGUCACAAACUUCUAAUUCAGUAAUAAUGAAAACCAAAGGGAUUUUUAA
Hylaeus volcanicus is the source of this 875-nucleotide long non-coding RNA. RefSeq lists it as uncharacterized. The transcript has 3 exons. NCBI's taxonomy places the organism in Eukaryota, Metazoa, Arthropoda, Insecta, Hymenoptera, Colletidae. The record is from RefSeq and is a predicted model, not a curated record.